UACGUAGGGUGCAAGCGUUAAUCGGAAUUACUGGGCGUAAAGCGCACGCAGGCGGUCUGUCAAGUCGGAUGUGAAAUCCCCGGGCUCAACCUGGGAACUGCAUUCGAAACUGGCAGGCUAGAGUCUUGUAGAGGGGGGUAGAAUUCCAGGUGUAGCGGUGAAAUGCGUAGAGAUCUGGAGGAAUACCGGUGGCGAAGGCGGCCCCCUGGACAAAGACUGACGCUCAGGUGCGAAAGCGUGGGGAGCAAACAGG
This 253-nucleotide ribosomal RNA is filed under the name uncultured bacterium. Its description in RNAcentral is "partial 16S ribosomal RNA". It matches the Rfam family "Bacterial small subunit ribosomal RNA", at positions 524 to 776 of the family's 1533-position model. The record is from RNAcentral.